Molecule: ribosomal RNA, 418 nt
Filed under: Salmonella enterica
Lineage: Bacteria; Pseudomonadati; Pseudomonadota; Gammaproteobacteria; Enterobacterales; Enterobacteriaceae
Also listed under: 1 other name
Description: bacterial SSU rRNA
Rfam family: Bacterial small subunit ribosomal RNA
Source: RNAcentral
UCCGGUCGGGAACUCAAAGGAGACUGCCAGUGAUAAACUGGAGGAAGGUGGGGAUGACGUCAAGUCAUCAUGGCCCUUACGACCAGGGCUACACACGUGCUACAAUGGCGCAUACAAAGAGAAGCGACCUCGCGAGAGCAAGCGGACCUCAUAAAGUGCGUCGUAGUCCGGAUUGGAGUCUGCAACUCGACUCCAUGAAGUCGGAAUCGCUAGUAAUCGUGGAUCAGAAUGCCACGGUGAAUACGUUCCCGGGCCUUGUACACACCGCCCGUCACACCAUGGGAGUGGGUUGCAAAAGAAGUAGGUAGCUUAACCUUCGGGAGGGCGCUUACCACUUUGUGAUUCAUGACUGGGGUGAAGUCGUAACAAGGUAACCGUAGGGGAACCUGCGGUUGGAUCACCUCCUUACCUUAAAGAA